RNAcentral lists this ribosomal RNA (1134 nucleotides) under Triticum aestivum (bread wheat). Its description in RNAcentral is "partial small subunit ribosomal RNA". The record is from RNAcentral. Lineage: Eukaryota; Viridiplantae; Streptophyta; Magnoliopsida; Poales; Poaceae.
AUGCAGGAACUCAUCAAUAAUGUUAACGCGGUAGUGCGAAAUUGCCAUGGCAAGUUGGUUGAAGAAUUCAACAUAAAAUUGCAGUUUGACAGCAUGUUCGUUGAUCAUCUGAAUGAUUGGGUUAAUUUUGCGGUGUCAGCGCAGAUAAGGAAGAUAGCUUUCUACUUAGAUCCAAAUAACCUGGGGCUUUGGGAUCCUGGUCAUUACGAAUUUCCAUUUCACCUCUUGGAUAGUGAAAGCAUAUCACGUUUAGAGUGCAUUCAACUUAGCUUUGUAUCUUUGAGACCACCAUCGGAAUUCAGUGGUUUCCCAAGCUUAAGAAAGCUUGAUCUAGAAUUUGUGGAUAUCACUAGAAAGGAUCUUGAAGUUAUAUUGUCCAAUUGCUGCUAUCUUAAAUGGUUAAGCCUAGUCAGAUGCUAUGUGAAGGACGAGCUAAAGUUGGAUCGUCCGUUGUCCAGCCUUCGACACCUAGCAGUUGUAUGGUGUGACAUAACCAGGAUAGAACUUCCAACUCUGAAACUGGAUACAUUUGUAUAUCAUGGACACAUUGUUCCAAUUGUUAUAAAUCGAGAUUCCAUGUUGGAAAAUGCACAAGUAUGGCUCUUCAAGGCAAAUUUCGAUGAUGAUGUCAGUGCAGUUCUCAAUGGUAUUCCGAGGGUGCAAAAUCUGACGCUACAAAUUUUGAAACUGGGAAUAGAGAUGCAACCACUGUUGAAUAGCACAUGCAUGUUUUCCCAUCUUAGGUGCUUACAGUUGUUAUUGGGUAUAACACUUGUAGAUAUAAACAAACUUCCCCGUGUAGUUUCCAUUCUGAGAGCAGCUCCAUCUAUUGAGAAGUUAGAGAUCCAUUUUACUGCCGGUGGUAGUCAUCUUUGUCUUGCGGCCAAGGGUACUGUGGACAAGCCACAGUACCUUGAGCACUGUGAAUAUAAUUAUCUGAAGAGUGUGCAUAUGACAGGAUAUAAAGGGGCAAGAGGUCAACUGGAAUUUCUUGUGCAUGUUGUGGAAAAGGCCCCUGCGCUGGAGGCAUUAACUGUGGACACAGCUCUAGAGCUUCACGAUGAUGAUUAUGUACGCAUGUUUAAUGUUUUGCAGAAAAAAUGCAUGCUCCGACCGCGCUGCUCUGCACGCUAG